GAUUUCCGGCUCAGAUUGAACGCUGGCGGCAGGCUUAACACAUGCAAGUCGAACGGUAGCAGGAGAAAGCUUGCUUUCUUGCUGACGAGUGGCGGACGGGUGAGUAAUGCUUGGGAAUCUGGCUUAUGGAGGGGGAUAACGACGGGAAACUGUCGCUAAUACCGCGUAUUAUCGGAAGAUGAAAGUGCGGGACUGAGAGGCCGCAUGCCAUAGGAUGAGCCCAAGUGGGAUUAGGUAGUUGGUGGGGUAAAGGCCUACCAAGCCUGCGAUCUCUAGCUGGUCUGAGAGGAUGACCAGCCACACUGGAACUGAGACACGGUCCAGACUCCUACGGGAGGCAGCAGUGGGGAAUAUUGCGCAAUGGGGGGAACCCUGACGCAGCCAUGCCGCGUGAAUGAAGAAGGCCUUCGGGUUGUAAAGUUCUUUCGGUAUUGAGGAAGGUUGAUGUGUUAAUAGCACAUCAAAUUGACGUUAAAUACAGAAGAAGCACCGGCUAACUCCGUGCCAGCAGCCGCGGUAAUACGGAGGGUGCGAGCGUUAAUCGGAAUAACUGGGCGUAAAGGGCACGCAGGCGGUUAUUUAAGUGAGGUGUGAAAGCCCUGGGCUUAACCUAGGAAUUGCAUUUCAGACUGGGUAACUAGAGUACUUUAGGGAGGGGUAGAAUUCCACGUGUAGCGGUGAAAUGCGUAGAGAUGUGGAGGAAUACCGAAGGCGAAGGCAGCCCCUUGGGAAUGUACUACGCUCAUGUGCGAAAGCGUGGGGAGCAAACAGGAUUAGAUAC
This 781-nucleotide ribosomal RNA is filed under the name Haemophilus influenzae. RNAcentral describes it as "bacterial SSU rRNA". It matches the Rfam family "Bacterial small subunit ribosomal RNA", at positions 15 to 785 of the family's 1533-position model. The record is from RNAcentral. Lineage: Bacteria; Pseudomonadati; Pseudomonadota; Gammaproteobacteria; Pasteurellales; Pasteurellaceae.